RNAcentral lists this ribosomal RNA (418 nucleotides) under uncultured Actinomycetales bacterium. RNAcentral's name for it is "bacterial SSU rRNA". It matches the Rfam family "Bacterial small subunit ribosomal RNA", at positions 356 to 774 of the family's 1533-position model. The record is from RNAcentral. Lineage: Bacteria; Bacillati; Actinomycetota; Actinomycetes; Actinomycetales.
GGGGAAUAUUGCACAAUGGUCGAAAGCCUGAUGCAGCGACGCCGUGUGGGGGAUGAAGGACUUCGUGUUGUAAACCUUUUUCGCUCUUGACCAAGGGCCGCUUUUGGGGUGGUUGGAGGGUAUGGGGUAAAGACGCACCGGCUAACUACGUGCCAGCAGCCGCGGUAAUACGUAGGGUGCGAGCGUUGUCCGGAAUUAUUGGGCGUAAAGGGCUUGUAGGUGGCGUGUCGCGUCUGUCGUGAAAUUCACUGGCUUAACUAGUGAAUGCGGUGGGUACGGGCAUGCUUGAGUGUGGUAGGGGAGAUUGGAAUUCCUGGUGUAGCGGUGGAAUGCGCAGAUAUCAGGAAGAACACCGGUGGCGAAGGCGGAUCUCUGGGCCAUUACUGACGCUGAGGAGCGAAAGCGUGGGGAGCGAACA